This 77-nucleotide transfer RNA is filed under the name bacterium. RNAcentral describes it as "tRNA-Arg". It matches the Rfam family "tRNA". Rfam says of the family: Transfer RNA (tRNA) molecules are approximately 80 nucleotides in length. Their secondary structure includes four short double-helical elements and three loops (D, anti-codon, and T loops). The record is from RNAcentral.
GGGCCACUAGCUCAGCUGGAUAGAGUGCCGGUCUACGAAACCGGAGGUCAAAGGUUCGAAUCCUUUGUGGCCCACCA